RNAcentral lists this non-coding RNA (32 nucleotides) under Rattus norvegicus (Norway rat). The record is from RNAcentral. Lineage: Eukaryota; Metazoa; Chordata; Mammalia; Rodentia; Muridae.
UCCACAGAUAGAGCACUACAAAGGCGCCUCGU